UUUGAAAAUUAUAAAAGGUAACGCCUGCCCAGUGACAUUGUUUAACGGCCGCGGUAUUCUGACCGUGCGAAGGUAGCGUAAUCACUUGUCUUUUAAAUAAAGACUUGUAUGAAUGGCAUCACGAAGACUUAACUGUCUCCUUAGUCCUAUCAGUGAAACUGAUCUUUCCGUACAAAAGCGGAAAUAAAACCAUAAGACGAGAAGACCCUAUGGAGCUUAAAACUAAAAUCUAGCUAUAUCAUCUGUUAAAAUUUAUUAAUACUAUAUCUUUAUAGACUUAGCCAAAGUUUUCAGUUGGGGUGACUGUGGAGAAAAACUAAUCCUCCAUGUAGAUUUAAGCCUUGAGCUACCACUCUCAGCAUUAACAAGUUUAACUUUAC
This 380-nucleotide ribosomal RNA is filed under the name Leptobrachium hainanense (Hainan pseudomoustache toad). RNAcentral describes it as "partial 16S ribosomal RNA". It matches the Rfam family "Archaeal large subunit ribosomal RNA", at positions 1914 to 2445 of the family's 2987-position model. Lineage: Eukaryota; Metazoa; Chordata; Amphibia; Anura; Megophryidae. The record is from RNAcentral.